This is a long non-coding RNA of Daucus carota subsp. sativus, 507 nucleotides long. RefSeq lists it as uncharacterized. The transcript is spliced from 2 exons. The record is from RefSeq and is a predicted model, not a curated record. NCBI's taxonomy places the organism in Eukaryota, Viridiplantae, Streptophyta, Magnoliopsida, Apiales, Apiaceae.
CAACGUUAUAUUUUUUCCUUAUUUAUAUCAUUGUUAAUCUGCUACUAUAAUCUUUACUCAGCACUAUCAUUCAUCCAAGCAUUUACAAAAAUGGCUAUGAACGUGAUUUCACACAACACGUCGUCGUUUUCUGUCCUCCCAGAGAGCAACGAAGAUAUUGUUGACGCUGGCGAUUUUAAAGUCGUUAAAGAUGAAAAAGAGGAUAUCCAGAAGGAGUUGAUUGCACUGGGAGCGUUGAAAUGGCGCAAGACUCCUUCCUUGGCGGAGACGUCGAGGAACGGUACGAAAGCGGCGAAGAUUGUGAACGUGAAAGUGAGUCCGAGGCCGAUUCAGCAACCGAGGUAGACCGAGUGGAGAACGUGACUCGGUGAGCUCUAGAAUGGGGGAGCCGGAGUUUUAAUAUGUAAAUUUGUUUUUGUUUGUCAUGCAUUCCUUUCUCGGUAGGUUUUAAUUUGACCGAAAGUGGCAAGAAUAAAAAUAAAAAUUAUAAUUUUCUUCGUUUCAAAA